This 406-nucleotide ribosomal RNA is filed under the name uncultured bacterium. RNAcentral's name for it is "partial 16S ribosomal RNA". It matches the Rfam family "Bacterial small subunit ribosomal RNA", at positions 30 to 526 of the family's 1533-position model. The record is from RNAcentral.
AUUGAACGCUGGCGGCAGGCCUAACACAUGCAAGUCGAGCGAGCGGCGGACGGGUGAGUAAUUUCUGGGAAACUGCCUGAUGGAGGGGGAUAACUACUGGAAACGGUAGCUAAUACCGCAUACCAUCAGAUGUGCCCAGCUGGGAUUAGCUAGUAGGUGGGGUAACGGCUCACCUAGGCGACGAUCCCUAGCUGGUCUGAGAGGAUGACCAGCCAAACUGGAACUGAGACACGGUCCAGACUCCUACGGGAGGCAGCAGUGGGGAAUAUUGCACAAUGGGGGAAAGCCUGAUGCAGCCAUGCCGCGUGUAUGAAGAAGGCCUUCGGGUUGUAAAGGACUUUCAGCGGGGAGGCGUUACCCGCAGAAGAAGCACCGGCUAACUCCGUGCCAGCAGCCGCGGUAAUAC